GUGAUGAUGCAUGCAUACACAACGAAUGAGAAUUACAAAAAGGAAAACUCCCAUAUUUCAUCUUUUAUUACUGGAGAGAUCUGAUGUUGUGCCUGUAAAUUGCUGGUUCAACAAGCUCCCUCAAUGAUUUUUUUUAAAAUCAGUAGACCCCUGGAUAACAGUUCGACAAGCUGUAUGCACUUGGCCUUGCAUGUAUUAGAAAUUCUAUAAACAAUUAGUGGGUUUGAUUGGCACUGAUAUGCAAUAGCAUUAUAUAAUAGAAACUAUUUUUAUCCAUGUAAACACACAGAUAGGUUCAAGCAUUUAUGAACAAGGUUAAUUUAAGGUAUAGUGGAAUGAAGUGAUUGUAAAAUGGUGAUCAGUGCAAAGUAAAUAUUAGUAAAUACAACAACCAUAUUAGUGAAAGUUUUAAUGUCUUAAGGAGGUGACUGAAGGGCCAAAAUUCAAAUGUCAAUGUUUGAACUAUAGGAGAGGUGGUAAACCUUGAAAAAUUUAGCCAGAUUUCCUAGUUAUAAGUAAAAUUUGACAUAAAUAACCACUGGCUUCAAGAAAGAUAUCACUUUAGUAUAUCAAAAAAUUUUGUGAAAAAGGAAGCAAGAGUAGCAAUGAGAGAGAAUAAGACAGAGAAGAGAGGAAGGUGGGGAGUUGUAGUAAACUGAAUUGUGUUCCUCUAAAAGAUAUAGCCACUGGAGCCUAAGAAUAUGAUAUUAUUUGGUAAAGAGUAUUUGUGGAUGUAAUUUAUUUCAUGUAGAGUAUCUCAAGAUGACAUCUUUCUGGAUUUAGAGUGGGUCCUAAAUACAUUAACAGACAUCCUUAUAGAAUAGGAAAGACACCAAGGAGAAAGCCGUGUGAGGAUAGAGACAGAGAUUGAGGAUAUGCAGCUACAAGCCCAAGAAACUGAACGGGGCUUUCGGAAACUCCCAGAUUUGUAGCCAAGUCAGAUGGAAAUGCAGGUAGCCUGGGGAUGCUUUCUCAUGGCUAGCAUCUGAAGUAAGAGCAGUCCUGUUAAGGACCUUGCCCUUUAACUUAUAGGAUAUGAGGCUAUUUCUAAGGAGUUAACAUUGGAAUUGAAAGAGUUAACCCUUAACUUGUGGGGUCUGCACUAAUUCCAGGCAGUUAGUGUCAGAAUUGAAUUGAAUUGUAGAACACUCAGUUGAUAUUAGAGAAUUGGUGUCAGAAUCUAUGGGAGAUUCACUGUUCAGAAAGUGUGCUCUGGAAAGAAGUUCAAGUGUAGGGCU
RNAcentral lists this long non-coding RNA (1238 nucleotides) under Macaca fascicularis (crab-eating macaque). RNAcentral's name for it is "lncRNA (ENSMFAG00000059798.1)". Lineage: Eukaryota; Metazoa; Chordata; Mammalia; Primates; Cercopithecidae. The record is from RNAcentral.